GAUGAACGCUAGCUACAGGCUUAACACAUGCAAGUCGAGGGGCAGCGGGAUUGAAGCUUGCUUCAAUUGCCGGCGACCGGCGCACGGGUGAGUAACGCGUAUCCAACCUUCCGUACACUCAGGGAUAGCCUUUCGAAAGAAAGAUUAAUACCUGAUGGUAUGAUGAGAUUGCAUGAUAGCAUCAUUAAAGAUUUAUCGGUGUACGAUGGGGAUGCGUUCCAUUAGGUAGUAGGCGGGGUAACGGCCACCUAGCCAACGAUGGAUAGGGGUUCUGAGAGGAAGGUCCCCACAUUGGAACUGAGACACGGUCCAAACUCCUACGGGAGGCAGCAGUGAGGAAUAUUGGUCAAUGGACGAGAGUCUGAACCAAGCCAAAGUAGCGU
RNAcentral lists this ribosomal RNA (383 nucleotides) under uncultured bacterium. RNAcentral's name for it is "bacterial SSU rRNA". It matches the Rfam family "Bacterial small subunit ribosomal RNA", at positions 28 to 402 of the family's 1533-position model. The record is from RNAcentral.